Molecule: long non-coding RNA, 785 nt
Organism: Apis cerana (Asiatic honeybee)
Lineage: Eukaryota; Metazoa; Arthropoda; Insecta; Hymenoptera; Apidae
Source: RefSeq, a predicted model, not a curated record
AAGAUUGGCCCCGAAGUUUGUUGCGUAGCCACCCUGAGAUCCUGAGAUCUCGGGCGACUUGCUCGAUCCUCGUUUCUGAUCUGCCACGCGGAAAAUAAGGUUCAGUUCUUGGAGCUCCGAGUAGCGAUGAGAUCGAGUGUCUCGCGAUAAAGUUGAUCAUCUUGAGAAAGUUAUUCAUAAAUUGCGCGAUUAAUUUUAAUUAUUUGACAGGUUUUUUCGGUUUCAUUGUUAAAAUUGUUAUCGAGAAAAAUGAAAGUGUAAGGAUAUUUUGACAGAUUAGACCAUGAUAUCGCGGAUCGAAUUAUAUUUUCGACGUUGGUACGAGUUUGAUGAUCAGUGGCGAUAGAUAUAUUAUUUUCAAAGUUUUUGAAUUUGAUAAGCGUAGAAUACGGUUCCAUGAAAUUAAUUCGAGCGAAGAUGAGUUUGAUUUUUCGUUAUUAAAUAACGAAAUUAUUUCUAUUCAAUAAAAAAUUGAUGAUAGAGAGAAAAUAGUGAUGAAAAUACAGAUAUAAUGUAAGAAGAAUAUAGAAUGGAUGAUAAAUAAGAAUAAUAAAUGUGAGAGCACGUUAUUGGGAUCGUAAGUUUGCUCUCGAUAAAAUAAGAAAGAUGAAAGACAUUAUUUUAUCGCGAUACUUGGCAUGGCAAACCGAGGAUACAUCUUGAUAAUUAUGUUAUUAUUAAAAUAUCACAUGGAACAACAAUAUAGACUUUAAUAUUCGACAAAUUUUCUCUCUUUACGUGUAAAGAUAUAUAAAAUAUUAGAAUAUAAAAAUUUUAUACAUUAA